This 492-nucleotide ribosomal RNA is filed under the name uncultured bacterium. RNAcentral's name for it is "partial 16S ribosomal RNA". It matches the Rfam family "Bacterial small subunit ribosomal RNA", at positions 29 to 507 of the family's 1533-position model. The record is from RNAcentral.
AGUGAACGCUGGCGGUAGGCCUAACACAUGCAAGUCGAACGGCAGCACAGUAAGAGCUUGCUCUUACGGGUGGCGAGUGGCGGACGGGUGAGGAAUACAUCGGAAUCUACUUUUUCGUGGGGGAUAACGUAGGGAAACUUACGCUAAUACCGCAUACGACCUACGGGUGAAAGCAGGGGAUCUUCGGACCUUGCGCGAUUGAAUGAGCCGAUGUCGGAUUAGCUAGUUGGCGGGGUAAAGGCCCACCAAGGCGACGAUCCGUAGCUGGUCUGAGAGGAUGAUCAGCCACACUGGAACUGAGACACGGUCCAGACUCCUACGGGAAGCAGCAGUGGGGAAUAUUCGACAAUGGGCGCAAGCCUGAUCCAGCCAUACCGCGUGGGUGAAGAAGGCCUUCGGGUUGUAAAGCCCUUUUGUUGGGAAAGAAAAGCAGCAGGUUAAUACCCCGCUGUUCUGACGGUACCCAAAGAAUAAGCACCGGCUAACUUCGUG